RNAcentral lists this small nucleolar RNA (85 nucleotides) under Amborella trichopoda. Its description in RNAcentral is "snoRNA snoR44_J54". It matches the Rfam family "Small nucleolar RNA R44/J54/Z268 family". Rfam says of the family: R44, J54 and Z268 are members of the C/D class of snoRNA which contain the C (UGAUGA) and D (CUGA) box motifs. Most of the members of the box C/D family function in directing site-specific 2'-O-methylation of substrate RNAs. The record is from Rfam by way of RNAcentral. Lineage: Eukaryota; Viridiplantae; Streptophyta; Magnoliopsida; Amborellales; Amborellaceae.
CAUGCAUAUAAUCUGAAGAUAUACAGGGACAUCAGAAAUCCCAUGGGGAAUAAUGAUUUGUCUUUGGGAAUCUCUUUGAUGCAUU